Molecule: ribosomal RNA, 301 nt
Filed under: uncultured bacterium
Lineage: Bacteria
Description: partial 16S ribosomal RNA
Rfam family: Bacterial small subunit ribosomal RNA
Source: RNAcentral
CAGCAGCCGCGGGAAUACGAAGGGUGCAAGCGUUACUCGGAAUUACUGGGCGUAAAGCGUGCGUAGGUGGUUGUUUAAGUCUGUUGUGAAAGCCCUGGGCUCAACCUGGGAAUUGCAGUGGAUACUGGGCAACUAGAGUGUGGUAGAGGGUAGUGGAAUUCCCGGUGUAGCAGUGAAAUGCGUAGAGAUCGGGAGGAACAUCCAUGGCGAAGGCAGCUACCUGGACCAACACUGACACUGAGGCACGAAAGCGUGGGGAGCAAACAGGAUUAGAGACCCCCGUAGUCCCUGUCUCUUAUAC